CCUACGGGUGGCUGCAGUGGGGAAUAUUGCACAAUGGGGGAAACCCUGAUGCAGCGACGCCGCGUGAGUGAAGAAGUAAUUCGUUAUGUAAAGCUCUAUCAGCAGGGAAGAAAAUGACGGUACCUGAGUAAGAAGCACCGGCUAACUACGUGACAGCAGCCGGGGGAAUACGGAGGGGGCAAGCGUUAACCGGAUUUACUGGGUGUAAAGGGAGCGUAGACGGCAGUGCAAGUUGGGCGUGAAAGGUGGGGGCUCAACCCCCGGACUGCUCUGGAAACUGUAGGGCUGGAGUGCAGGAGAGGUAAGUGGAAUUCCUGGUGUAGCGGUGAAAUGCGUAGAUAUUAGGAGGAACACCAGUGGCGAAGGCAGCUUACCGGACUGUAACUGACGUUGAGGCUCGAAAGCGUGGGGAGCAAACAGGAUUAGAUACCCCUGUAGUC
Molecule: ribosomal RNA, 440 nt
Filed under: uncultured bacterium
Lineage: Bacteria
Description: partial 16S ribosomal RNA
Rfam family: Bacterial small subunit ribosomal RNA
Source: RNAcentral